CGUCCUAUACUGCAAGUCGAGCGGGAAUUGAUGAGGAGCUUUGCUCCCUUUGAACCUUCGCCGCAAGAGGGGUGUGUCACAUGUGGUAACCCGUACUGUAUGACAGUGGAUAUCAUCUCUCGGGAGACCCCGGAGCUUACAGCGAUAAAUCAUUUCCAAGCGCGAGGUUCUGUUGUGAAGUGGCGUUUUGCUAUCACUUAUAGAUGGACCCGCGCCGCAUUAGCUAGUUGGUAAGGUAACGGCUCACCAAGGCAACGAUACGUAGCCGACCUGAGAGGGUGAUCGGCCACACUGGAACUGAGACACGGUCCAGACUCCUACGGGAGGCAGCAGUAGGGAAUCUUCCGCAAUGGACGAAAGUCUGACGGAGCAACGCCGCGUGAGUGAUGAAGGUUUUCGGAUCGUAAAACUCUGUUGUUAGGGAAGAACAAAUAUCUUUCUAAUUGUGCGCUUCCUUAAGGGACCUUAUCAAAAAGCCCCCGGUAAAUAACUGCCCACAGCCGCCGUUAUACCUUAGGUGGCAGCGUUUUUCGGAAUUUAUGGGCCUAAAAGGGCGGGCGGGUGUUUCUUUAGUUCUAAGUUAAAACCCACGGGUCAACCGUGGAAGGUCCUUUGAAACUGGAGAAAUUUAAUUCAAAAGAAGAAAGUGGAAUUUCCUGUUGUACCGUUAAAUGCCCAGAAAUUUGGAAGAACCCCAAUUGUCAAAGGUAAUUUCUGGUCUGUAACUGACCCUGAUGUCCGAAAGCCUGGGGAAUCAACCAGGAUUAAAAACGCUGGUAGUCCACGCUGUAAACAAUAAUGGUAACUGGUAGGGGGUUUCCCCCCCUUAGUGCUGCAGCUAACGCAUUAAUCACUCCGCCCGGGGGAGUACGACCCCCAGGUCUGAAACUCCAACGGAAUUGACGGGGGGCCCGCCCCAAUCGGUGGAACAAGUGGUUUAAUUCGAAGCACCCCAAAAUCAUUACAAGUUUUGCAUCUUUU
RNAcentral lists this ribosomal RNA (981 nucleotides) under Staphylococcus equorum. RNAcentral describes it as "bacterial SSU rRNA". It matches the Rfam family "Bacterial small subunit ribosomal RNA", at positions 45 to 990 of the family's 1533-position model. The record is from RNAcentral. Lineage: Bacteria; Bacillati; Bacillota; Bacilli; Caryophanales; Staphylococcaceae.